CCUACGGGAGGCUGCAGUGGGGAAUAUUCCACAAUGGGGGAAACUCUGAUGCAGCGACGCCGCGUGAGCGAAGAAGUAUCUCGGUACGUAAAGCUCUAUCAGCAGGGAAGAAAAUGACGGUACCUGACUAAGAAGCCCCGGCUAACUACGUGCCAGCAGCCGCGGUAAUACGUAGGGGGCAAGCGUUAGCCGGAUUUAAUGGGUGUAAAGGGAGCGCAGGCGGCGCGGUAAGUCUGAUGUGAAAGCCCGGGGCUCAACCCCGGGACUGCAUUGGAAACUGUCGUGCUGGAGUGUAGAAGGGGAGAGUGGAAUUCCAAGUGUAGCGGUGAAAUGCGUAGAUAUUAGGAGGAACACCAGUGGCGAAGGCGGCUUUCUGGUCGACAACUGACGCUGAGGCUCGAAAGCGUGGGGAGCAAACAGGAUUAGAUACCCGUGUAGUC
This 440-nucleotide ribosomal RNA is filed under the name uncultured bacterium. RNAcentral's name for it is "partial 16S ribosomal RNA". It matches the Rfam family "Bacterial small subunit ribosomal RNA", at positions 338 to 795 of the family's 1533-position model. The record is from RNAcentral.